Liolophura sinensis is the source of this 2121-nucleotide long non-coding RNA. RefSeq lists it as uncharacterized. The transcript is spliced from 5 exons. NCBI's taxonomy places the organism in Eukaryota, Metazoa, Mollusca, Polyplacophora, Chitonida, Chitonidae. The record is from RefSeq and is a predicted model, not a curated record.
UACAUUCGGACUUGCAUGUUACUGCUUCUGUAAUGAAUUGUACCCUUAUAAUAGCCACAUCAACUGUGUAAUAUCGCCCACGUAGGAUACUGUAUCCAAGGAUGUCUACUGUGGAUAAGAGGAUAUCUCUACUACAUACACAUGGGAGGAUUUUACGGAAUACCUUUUCUGCUGAUAUCUGCCGUCCACAUUGAUAUAAUGAUGAUUCACAUGGGGAGAAUUACCAGCAUCUGAAUUUGAGGAUGUCUGUCAACUCACCAAGCUUUGCAUUUGCGUAAAUGUCGAUUCAUUAUGGAUAUAAAUGCGCUGUGAGCUUGCGGAUGCCUGCUGUGAAGAUUAUCCAUUGACUUUUAGUAGAUACGCACACCUCGCCAAAUGUUUUUGGGGAUGUACAUUGGGCAAUAUGGACAUCAUUCAUGUCAACAGUUGUUGACACUGUGUUGACAUGGGAUCCCGACACACAUAAGGUGGAAACAAGAUAUUAGUAUAACAUCGAACACCGUGGAAAAUGUAUGGAAGCUUUACGGAACUUCUUGUAGGAUGUUAUCUUCGUUCAGAUUACCAAUCACCUACUUGAUUGCAUAGACAGGACAGGAAGUGACGGAAUUACCGAUGUAUGCUGGGAAUACUAGUUUGAUUUCUGUAGCCGUCAUGAGGAAUUCCUUUUAUAAGGUAACCAUCCUCUUAUGUCAAGAAGAUUGAAAGUUGUUCAGGAUCAAAUGUGAAGUGAUUCUUUUCAAGGAAUAUGUAUUGAUUGAAUUUUACCAUUGGAUUAUACUUAUCUGAGCGACGUGCAUGUCAUAGUAACUGCCCGAACCGAGAAAGAAUAUUCUGUGACUGGAUUGCGGUUGUGCUCAGGAUGGAUUACGUAACCUGUUAUGAGCGUGUAUGGCUUACAUCAUGCGUCCUUCAUGCACGGCGACGGGAAUUCUUUACCGAGUUGUGUGAAACGUGCAUGAAGGAUUGUGAAUGUCUACUACCGGCUGUUGUUCGGCGUAAUAGAUCUUCUAAAAUUCGGAAACUGGACCCUCCCUGACUUCAAGUUGUGUGCUCAGAGCUAAGGAACCCCAACCACCUGAGGCUAUGAAGUACCCACAGCUAGCUAUUUGUACAACGGGAUGUGUUCUCAACUCAGGAUGAAGUUAUCGCCAGCGAUAUGCCAUUACCGGGAACAUGGCGGCCGACAAGUCACGUGAUCAGGGGGAGCUCGGAUACACAUGAGUGACGUGUCGUCUGCUCCUUUGAAACCUUUGCACGUGGGGCCAAAGGCACAAAAGAGUUCCAGCAUGGCGAGCGUUUGAAGCCUUUCACCGACUCGUCAAACAUAAAGAAUUAAAAUGACAGAUCUGUACCGAGAAGGUGACCGGAGAAAGAAUGAAAGGAGACACUGAAAGCUGGAAAUAAAACGGUAACAAGUUUGACAUCGACUGGCACUCAUGAAACUUCGACCUCCGCUUCGUUUUAUCUCCUUGUGGGGCACUGACCCGGAAGUGGCCUGACAGACCCCAAGCGCUGUCAUUGGUGCAGGUAUUACUCUUGAGGCUAACGCGGCGAGUGGAGAUUUGAACCUCUGUCCCUCGUUAACUGGGUGUUAAGAGGCUGGCGGUAGCACGCCUGAACUGGCACUUAGAGCCACUGAACAGGUGCAUGUCGCCUGAGAAUUCACGUGAAUGGGGUAAACGCGAAGCUAUAAAUCAUAGAUGUGGUGCUAAUUACGACGAGACCCAUUUUGAGUUAAGUGGAGCGAGGCAUAAGCCCUCAACAGCCUGGGGAGGUCAAGUUACGCAAGAUUACACGAGAUUAUAUGGAAUUUUUCGAGUCACUCGAAAGCUAUUAUUAACCGCUGUAUUCUCGAACCAAAACGCAUUUUCUGUGCUCUUCUUUUAUCUCCAUAGUGAGCAAACAAUGUUUGGAAAGUUGCAUUGAAAACAUUCUGACAAUUGGGUCUUCUUGGAUAGGUCGUGAUCAGCGGUACCGGUAGCUGUUUCCGGAAGUUGAUGUGUGCGCAUGCCACAUGUUUCAUAAAUAAAUGUUCCUUGACAGUAAUAGUUGUAUUUUUCAAGUAAAUGUGGAUGUAUAUCGCUCGCGUUGAUGUCUUCGUCUAAACCUGUACAAUUUCUU